GGGAACUCUGAGACAGGUGCUGCAUGGCUGUCGUCAGCUCGUGUUGUGAAAUGUUGGGUUAAGUCCCGCAACGAGCGCAACCCUUAUCCUUUGUUGCCAGCGGUUAGGCCGGGAACUCAAAGGAGACUGCCAGUGAUAAACUGGAGGAAGGUGGGGAUGACGUCAAGUCAUCAUGGCCCUUACGAGUAGGGCUACACACGUGCUACAAUGGCGCAUACAAAGAGAAGCGACCUCGCGAGAGCAAGCGGACCUCAUAAAGUGCGUCGUAGUCCGGAUUGGAGUCUGCAACUCGACUCCAUGAAGUCGGAAUCGCUAGUAAUCGUGGAUCAGAAUGCCACGGUGAAUACGUUCCCGGGCCUUGUACACACCGCCCGUCACACCAUGGGAGUGGGUUGCAAAAGAAGUAGGUAGCUUAACCUUCGGGAGGGCGCUUACCACUUUGUGAUUCAUGACUGGGGUGAAGUCGUAACAAGGUAGGCGUAGUGCU
This 487-nucleotide ribosomal RNA is filed under the name uncultured bacterium. Its description in RNAcentral is "bacterial SSU rRNA". It matches the Rfam family "Bacterial small subunit ribosomal RNA", at positions 1022 to 1509 of the family's 1533-position model. The record is from RNAcentral.